Molecule: ribosomal RNA, 445 nt
Filed under: uncultured bacterium
Lineage: Bacteria
Description: bacterial SSU rRNA
Rfam family: Bacterial small subunit ribosomal RNA
Source: RNAcentral
GAUGAACGCUGGCGGCGUGCUUAACACAUGCAAGUCGAACGGAGCACCCCUGAAGGAGUUUUCGGACAACUGAUGGGAAUGCUUAGUGGCGGACGGGUGAGUAACGCGUGAGCAACCUGCCUUGGAGUGGGGAAUAACAGCUGAAAACAGCUGCUAAUACCGCAUAAUAUGUCUGAACCGCAUGGCUCUGGACAUCAAAGAUUUAUCGCUCUGAGAUGGACUCGCGUCUGAUUAGCUAGUUGGUGGGGCAACGGCCCACCAAGGCGACGAUCAGUAGCCGGACUGAGAGGUUGGCCGGCCACAUUGGGACUGAGACACGGCCCAGACUCCUACGGGAGGCAGCAGUGGGGAAUAUUGGGCAAUGGGCGCAAGCCUGACCCAGCAACGCCGCGUGAAGGAAGAAGGCUUUCGGGUUGUAAACUUCUUUUCUCAGGGACGAAGCAAG